AGAGUUUGAUCCUGGCUCAGAAUCAACGCUGGCGGCGCGCUUAACACAUGCAAGUCGCACGAGAAAGUGGAGCAAUCCAUGAGUAAAGUGGCGUACGGGUGAGUAACACGUGGAUUAUCUACCUCUUGGUGGGGAAUAACCCUGGGAAACCGGGGCUAAUACCGCAUAAGCCUGCGAAGGGAAAGCAGCAAUGCGCCGAGAGAGGAGUCCGCGGCCGAUUAGCUAGUUGGUAGGGUAAUGGCCUACCAAGGCAAUGAUCGGUAGCCGGCCUGAGAGGGCACACGGCCACACUGGCACUGAAACACGGGCCAGACUCCUACGGGAGGCAGCAGUGGGGAAUCUUGCACAAUGGAGGAAACUCUGAUGCAGCGACGCCGCGUGAGUGAUGAAGCCCUUCGGGGUGUAAA
This 407-nucleotide ribosomal RNA is filed under the name uncultured bacterium. Its description in RNAcentral is "bacterial SSU rRNA". It matches the Rfam family "Bacterial small subunit ribosomal RNA", at positions 8 to 429 of the family's 1533-position model. The record is from RNAcentral.